This 346-nucleotide ribosomal RNA is filed under the name uncultured bacterium. RNAcentral's name for it is "bacterial SSU rRNA". It matches the Rfam family "Bacterial small subunit ribosomal RNA", at positions 471 to 793 of the family's 1533-position model. The record is from RNAcentral.
GACGUUAGCUGCAGAAGAAGCACCGGCUAACUCCGUGCCAGCAGCCGACGGUAAUACGGGAGGGUGCGAGUACGUUAAGUACGGUAAUUACGUGGGACGUAAAGCGCAUGCAGGUUGGUUUAGUUAAGUCAGAUGUAGAAACGGCCCGGGGCUACAACCGUACGGUAAUUGACUAUUUAGAAACGUGGACAAACUAGAGUACUGUAGGAGGGGGUAGAAUUUCAGGUGUAGCGGUGAAAUGCGUAGAGAUCUGAAGGAAUACCGGUGGCGAAGGCGGCCCCCUGGACAGAUACUGACACUCAGAUGCGAAAGCGUGGGGAGCAAACAGGAUUAGAUACCCUGGUAG